Non-coding RNA from Peromyscus maniculatus bairdii (prairie deer mouse), 1172 nucleotides. The record is from RefSeq and is a predicted model, not a curated record. NCBI's taxonomy places the organism in Eukaryota, Metazoa, Chordata, Mammalia, Rodentia, Cricetidae.
CCCGGGAAAGCACGGGCGGGAAAGCCGAGCCGCCGCCGUGGGUGCGGAGAGAGCGGAGCUCAGUGCCAAAGCCUGGGUGUGCAAAGAAAGACGCUGGCUUCAGCCGAACUCCCAGAAGGCAGAUGCUAGAAUCUGCAGCCCGAGCGGAAAACACAAGCGUGGUCGGGGAGGUUUGCUCCGUGCACCUGUGGUCUAGAGUGCGCUCACAGAAGGUCCUCAUCCAUCGCUGAGAGAAGUCAGGCAGGAACCUGGAGGCAGGAACUGAAGCUGAGUCCGCAGAGGGACACGACUUACUGGCUUGCUUUUCCUCUGGCUCACUCAGUUCAUGUGUCGCAGAAUCCCGGAUCAGCUGGCUGCUGGCUGGGUAUGGCCAAGAAAGGAGACAAAAGGGAAGGUGGAGAAUGGCAGGAAGGGACGGGCCAGACAAUGUCAUCACCCACCUCUUGGCUGAUGGCAUCACUGGUGGGCGGCGCCUCGCUGAAUCUUCUCCGGUGACCUCAGGCCCUGAGCACAAACACUGACACUUCCUGUGAACAGUUCGGCCCGGAGACGUGGUUAGCUUUCUACUGGGAUUAAUCCCUGAGUGACUUCGUCAUGGUGCAUAGAAAAGUGGAGAGUGGAAAGUCCGCUGGAGGGGACAUUCAAGCAUGGCCAAGCCGUGGAGGGUCAGAGGCCGACCGAAGAGAGACAUUGUCGCAUGAGGAAUUGCUGUAAAUUCUAGGCCUGGGUCCCUAGAGCACUGAAGGUGAUUUCGGUCUCUACACGACCAACCCCUUUAUGUCCCGACCAACCCCUUUAUGUCCCGUAAGCCCCUGCCCAGAGUCCCUUCCCCAGUGUCUCCUGUUUCUCCGGAUCCUGCUCUGUUUCCCCUCUCUCUUUGCCCUGAUCACUUUCUAACACCUUUGAUCUACAAUCUUUAUAAUCCACUGUCUCUUCUACGCACAGCAGUAGAAGUUCCACGGUGCCAGGAAUCUUUGCUUUUUUUUUUUUUUUUCCACUGAGACUUGUCAAGAACAUAAAAGUGUCUGAGCUGGCUCUGGUGGCUAAUGCCUUUAAUCCUAGCACAUGGAAGGUCAAGGCAGCAGAAUUGAUGAGAAUUUGAGGCCAGCCUGGGCUACAGAGACCCUGUCUUGAAACAAAAACAAACAAAAUAAAAAAGUGUCUGAUCUAUA